CGUGCAAUCCUAUUUUGUUGGUUUCUAGGACCGCUGUAAUAAUUAAUAGGGAUAGUCAGGGGCAUUAGUAUUCAAUUGUCAGAGGUAAAAUUCUUGGAUUUAUUGAAGACUAACUACUGCGAAAGCAUUUGCCAAGGAUGUUUUCAUUAAUCAGUGAACAAAAGUUAGGGGAUCAAAGACAAUCAGAUACCGUCGUAGUCUUAACUGUAAACUAUGCCAACUAGAGAUUAGGCGAUGUUUCUAUCUUGACUCGCUUAGCACCUUACAAGAAAUCAAAGUUUUUGGGUUCUGGGGGGAGUAUGGUCGCAAGGCUAAAACUUAAAGAAAUUGACAGAAGGGCACCACUAGGCGUAGAGCCUGCGGCUUAAUUUGUCUCAACACAGAGAAACUCACCAGGUCUAGAUGAAAUAAGGAUUGACAGAUUAAGAGCUCUUUCUUGAUUUUUCAGGUGGUGGUGCAUGGCCGUUCUUAGUUAGUGGAGUAAUUUGUCUGCUUAAUUGCAAUAACAAACAAGACCUUAACCUGCUAAAUAGCCAGGCUAGCUUUGGCUAGUCGCUAGCUUCUUAGAGGGACUAUCAGCUCAAGCCAAUGGAAGUUUAAGGCAAUAACAGGUCUGUGAUGCCCUUAGAUGUUCUGGGCCGCACGCGCGCUACACUAACAGAGCCAUCAAGUUCAUUACCUUGGCCAAAAGGUCUAGGUAAUCUUGUUAAACUCUGUCGUGC
RNAcentral lists this ribosomal RNA (722 nucleotides) under uncultured fungus. Its description in RNAcentral is "bacterial SSU rRNA". It matches the Rfam family "Eukaryotic small subunit ribosomal RNA", at positions 827 to 1570 of the family's 1831-position model. Lineage: Eukaryota; Fungi. The record is from RNAcentral.